Molecule: long non-coding RNA, 393 nt
Organism: Nicotiana attenuata
Lineage: Eukaryota; Viridiplantae; Streptophyta; Magnoliopsida; Solanales; Solanaceae
Exons: 2
Source: RefSeq, a predicted model, not a curated record
GUUUCGAUUCAAGCCAUAGCAAAUUUACAACAGACACUUUCUCCUAUUUAAGUAUAGCUCUAUUUCAAUCUUAUUCUUAGCUUUAAUCUCCUAACCAUGUCGGACAAGUGUGGCAACUGCGACUGCUCUAGCGCCAGCCAGUGUGUAUAACUACAGCGCGAUGAACGCUGGAGCACGACAGCAGUUUGUCUAAAACUAUAUAUAUGAUGUUUUAAGGAAUAACAGUACCUUGUUAUUGUAGUGGAAUAAACUGUGUUGUGGUCAGUCCUAAUUGCCAAAGUGAAAAAAUGUAAGGAGUCACUCUAGACUGUAGUCUCUGUGUCUCUUUGGUCAAGUUUGUAACACAACUUUUCAUUGUUAAAUAGAUUAUUAUAAUAGUACACCAUCUUCUCA